This 107-nucleotide small nuclear RNA is filed under the name Mnemiopsis leidyi (sea walnut). Lineage: Eukaryota; Metazoa; Ctenophora; Tentaculata; Lobata; Bolinopsidae. The record is from RNAcentral.
UUACUUUGGUAGUGCAUAUACUAAACUUAGAACUAUACAGAGCAGAGAAGAUUAGCUGCAUGGCUCCUGUGCAAGGAUGAUAUGUAAAUUAGUGAAGCGUUUCUCUU